GGCACUUUGGCGGAGUGGUUAACGCGAUGCCCUGCUAUUGCGUAAGCAUAGUUGUCAGGCAUUUCCCUCGGGAGCGUGUGUUCGAAUCACACAGGUGUCG
This 100-nucleotide transfer RNA is filed under the name Lachnellula occidentalis. It matches the Rfam family "tRNA". Rfam says of the family: Transfer RNA (tRNA) molecules are approximately 80 nucleotides in length. Their secondary structure includes four short double-helical elements and three loops (D, anti-codon, and T loops). Further hydrogen bonds mediate the characteristic L-shaped molecular structure. tRNAs have two regions of fundamental functional importance: the anti-codon, which is responsible for specific mRNA codon recognition, and the 3' end, to which the tRNAs corresponding amino acid is attached (by aminoacyl-tRNA synthetases). tRNAs cope with the degeneracy of the genetic code in two manners: having more than one tRNA (with a specific anti-codon) for a particular amino acid; and 'wobble' base-pairing, i.e. permitting non-standard base-pairing at the 3rd anti-codon position. The record is from Rfam by way of RNAcentral. Lineage: Eukaryota; Fungi; Ascomycota; Leotiomycetes; Helotiales; Lachnaceae.